ACGGGGACCCGCACAAGCGGUGGACGAUGUGGAUUAAUUCGAUGCAACGCGAAAAACCUUACCUACCCUUGACAUGUCCGGAAUCCCGAAGAGAUUUGGGAGUGCUCGCAAGAGAACCGGAACACAGGUGCUGCAUGGCUGUCGUCAGCUCGUGUCGUGAGAUGUUGGGUUAAGUCCCGCAACGAGCGCAACCCUUGUCAUUAGUUGCCAUCAUUUGGUUGGGCACUCUAAUGAGACUGCCGGUGACAAACCGGAGGAAGGUGGGGAUGACGUCAAGUCCUCAUGGCCCUUAUGGGUAGGGCUUCACACGUCAUACAAUGGUCGGUACAGAGGGUUGCCAAGCCGCGAGGCGGAGCCAAUCCCACAAAGCCGAUCGUAGUCCGGAUUGUUCUCUGCAACUCGAGAGCAUGAAGUCGGAAUCGCUAGUAAUCGCAGGUCAGCAUACUGCGGUGAAUACGUUCCCGGGUCUU
RNAcentral lists this ribosomal RNA (470 nucleotides) under uncultured Rhodocyclaceae bacterium. Its description in RNAcentral is "bacterial SSU rRNA". It matches the Rfam family "Bacterial small subunit ribosomal RNA", at positions 913 to 1382 of the family's 1533-position model. Lineage: Bacteria; Pseudomonadati; Pseudomonadota; Betaproteobacteria; Rhodocyclales; Rhodocyclaceae. The record is from RNAcentral.